This 76-nucleotide transfer RNA is filed under the name Paludibacter jiangxiensis. RNAcentral describes it as "tRNA-Lys". It matches the Rfam family "tRNA". From Rfam's summary of the family: Transfer RNA (tRNA) molecules are approximately 80 nucleotides in length. Their secondary structure includes four short double-helical elements and three loops (D, anti-codon, and T loops). The record is from RNAcentral. Lineage: Bacteria; Pseudomonadati; Bacteroidota; Bacteroidia; Bacteroidales; Paludibacteraceae.
GACUCCGUAGCUCAGUUGGUAGAGCAAUUGACUCUUAAUCAAUGGGUCGAGGGUUCGAGCCCCUCCGGGGUCACUA